GAUCCUGGCUCAGAACGAACGCUGGCGGCAUGGAUUAGGCAUGCAAGUCGAACGGUGCAGCAAUGCAUAGUGGCGCAAGGGUGAGGAACGCGUGAGUAACCUGCCCUCAAGUUGGGAACAGCUUCUGGAACGGAAAUUAAUACCGAAUGUGACCAUAGGAAGGCAUCUUCUGUUGGUUAAAGGCCGCAAGGUCGCUUGAGGAGGGGCUCGCGUCCCAUUAUGCUAGUUGGUGAGGUAAAGGCUCACCAAGGCGAAGAUGGGUAGCUGGUCUGAGAGGACGAUCAGCCACACUGGGACUGAGAACUGCCCAGACUCCUACGGGAGGCUGCAGUCGAGAAUUUUGGGCAAUGGGCGAAAGUCUGAACCCCAGCAAUGCCGCGUGCGGGAUGAAGGUCUUCGGAUUGUAAACCGCUGUCAAGAGGGACGAAAUUUGACGGUACCUCUGGAGGAAGCCACGGCUAACUACGUGCCAGCCGCCGC
RNAcentral lists this ribosomal RNA (480 nucleotides) under uncultured bacterium. Its description in RNAcentral is "bacterial SSU rRNA". It matches the Rfam family "Bacterial small subunit ribosomal RNA", at positions 15 to 518 of the family's 1533-position model. The record is from RNAcentral.